GAUCAUUUUGUUCUGAAACCCCUGCCAUUGUCAGAGAUUCAUUCCAAUAGACCAGACCACUCAAAGUCGCGCCCAUCUGAGCACUAUUUAGAGCCAAACUGCUCUGCUGGGUGGGGGAAACCUGGCUAUAUGCUGACCACACUGGAUAUCCUGCAAAGCUUUUCUCAAAAAACACCCCUUCUAUCUCUCCUCAUAUUAUAUCCUUACAGGACAGCUUUUGCUUGGAUCAGAGAAGAGCAGAAUGGGUUGAGUCCAGGCUUAGAGUGAAGGUUAGUGCAUCCAUUACUAUUAGCUCACCAGGCCUCACUUGUGCACUCAUAUGUCUUUCUCAAAUACAACUUCCAAGGAUAUGUCCUUAAGGAAAAACAGUAGCCAAGUCCAUCUGGAGAUGCUGGAUAGGCAACAUAACACCUUCAGUUCCCUUGCUUCACAUCUACGUGCCUGCUCACUGGGAUUCACUAGACUAUAUUUCAGCUUGAGUCUCACUCUGAUUUCCUGGCAAAAUGCUGUUGUUGUUCCAGCAUCACUCUCCGAGGGACCUCUCCUAACUGCUCCACCUCUGUUCAAGUCAUUAGCUGGAAACUUGGACUCGAGCCUAUAAAUGUGUGACCCUCCCUGCCAUUGACUGCUACCCUCCAAGUGAGAGAUCCAAAAGCAUGAAAAGGAGAACGUGACUGUGAGAACAUUGUGGGAAUGGUGGGAGUUCAGGAAGUGCUAUAUUCCUGUAAAGAAAAGUCUGCACUCAUGGGGAAAACUGAGCACAACAAAGCAUGGCUCAGCUCCAGAAAGGUCUUGAAAAACCCAGCAGAAAACCUUCUUUUUCAUGCUAAACCCUUCCUUGUUGGUUUUAACCAACCUUGAUAACAAAAUAAAAACAAAAGAAAGCAAAUUCUC
This is a non-coding RNA of Taeniopygia guttata (zebra finch), 894 nucleotides long. NCBI's taxonomy places the organism in Eukaryota, Metazoa, Chordata, Aves, Passeriformes, Estrildidae. The record is from RefSeq and is a predicted model, not a curated record.